Molecule: long non-coding RNA, 25297 nt
Filed under: Vitis vinifera (wine grape)
Lineage: Eukaryota; Viridiplantae; Streptophyta; Magnoliopsida; Vitales; Vitaceae
Description: long non-coding RNA (VVIN_LNC006401)
Source: RNAcentral
GCAGCAUCCAUUAUGCAAUAUGGAUAUGUACCUCAUGGGAAACUAUGUCAUCCAUAAGCCUGCAAAUGACGUUUGAAGCUCUAAUCAUCUUAGGGUCACUGAAAACCCAAUCGAAGGCCUCCUUGGUUACUAUAUCUCCCAUACCGACGAAAGAUGUGGUUGUAAGCAUAGAGCAGGCAGAGCUUACCAGCGCGUUGCUCAUGUACUCCUCCAUUCUUGGUAUAUAUUCUUGCUUCAACCAUUUGGCUUCAAGAAGGUAGGCUUGGACUUGCCUUUUUAACUGAGUUACAUUGUUGAGAUAUUAUGAUAUAUUCUAGGAAAGUAGUUGUUAUUGUUUAGGAUUGUUUCCUAAACUCACGACAUUGUUUAGGAUUGUUUCCUAAACUCACGGUUUUCCCUUAAUUAGGUUUGCUUGAUGUACUAUAUAUUUACGUGGAUGAAUAUCAAUAAGGGUUAAGCUUUGACCCUUUAAUCACACUUUACAUGGUAUCAGAGCACUGACAUGCACACACAAUAAAACAAUGGCCGGCGACGAUGAACAACCACCAUUGCCGCCACCUAAAAGGGAGAUGAAUUCACCUUUUUUUCUCGGCACAGGAGACCGACCAGGCGACUUCAUCACUCCCACUCGCUUACGCGGCGACAAUUACGAUGAUUGGGCUUCUAAUAAUGAAGAUCACAAUAGUUGUUAUGGACCACCAAAAGAAUUCUAAAAAGAAAAAACCCAUGUAAAUAGGGGAAAAUCCUAAAAUAUCGGUAAAAAAUAAAGGAAAAAUUCACAAAAAUGGGGAAAAUCGUAAUUUUGGACAUGUGAGUUUGGAAUUUUGUACUUGGGCUUUUUGACAAACUACCACUUUUUCCUUAUUUAUUUAUUUUGUUAUACAAUACAUUACAAAAAAAAUACUAUCAAAAUUAAGAUAGGCCUUUUUUUUUGCUUUUAAAAAUUAGAAAAUAAUUGUAAAUUUUACAAAAGGUACAAAGAUUUGAAACUUAGGAAGUUCAGUCUUAUUACAAUUCAUAGUAACACAACCCUUUUCAGAAAAACUGAGCCACCAAAAUUCAAGUGGGGCUAUGCAAUAUUUUUUCCUUUGUAAAGAACAGUUCUAUAAAUAACAAAACACAAACGGUCAUUGAUCACACAAUUAACAGAUAGAAAUUUAUUGUAUCUUAAAAAAUAAUGAAUUAUCAAGCAAUAACGCCUGUUUGGAAAUGUUUUCACAAAAAAAAAAAAAUAGAAUAGUUUUAUCUAUAAAAUCAUAGUCAUUAACUCGAGUUUAAACUUAAAUUUAAAAUCAUAAUUGGUAACUGCACUUUUAAUUAUUUUUAGAAAAAAAAAACAUUAAAAUUAUAGUCAUCGACAAUUUUGUAACUUGGAUUGCAUGAGCACUGGUUUGAGAAUUAUGAGGAGUUAAUUUAUGGAAUUUUUUUAAAAUAAAUUAUUUUUAUUAAAAACUCAAUUAAUUUGGGGUAUUAAGACUAACAGAGGGUGCAGUCUACCACAAGCAGACUGGAUAUGAAAAAGAGGUUAAGACUCAUGAAAAAUAAUAUCUCUCAUCUAUUAUCACACAAUUUUUGUCAUUAAUUAUCUUUCUUCUUUUUACCGUUCAUUAACUAAUUUCUAACCAUCAAUUCAUUUCUUAUGAUGUUCAUCAUGUUUGAAUGACAUGUAACUAUUUAUGAUAUAGUAAACUUUCACUCAUAUUAAAAUUAAAGUUAAAAGUAAUUAAAAAAUCAAUUGAUAUAAUAAAUAAUAAAUUAAAAUUAAAAGUAAAUAAUUGAAAUAUUGGAGGAAAUUAAAAAUAAAAAUUUUAAAAAUUUUGAAUUUUAAAUUUAUCCAUAUGGAAAUUGAGGGAGAAAGAUAAUUUGUAUAAUAUAAUUUUUAUUAGCAAACUCAUUUUAAAAUUUUGUGUUUGAUAAGAAUGUAAUAAAAAUAUAUUUAUUCUAAUAAUGAAGAUCACAAUAGUCCAAGUUGUUAUGCACCACCAAAAGAAUUCUAAAAAGGAAAAAUUCACCAACGGGAAAAUCGUAAUUUUGGAAUUUGGAUAGGUGUAUACUAGUCUCUUUCUUUCCUUUCCCUGGUAUGGAAGGUAUAGGUCUAUAUAUACUUGGAAGAACCAGUCAAAUUCGGCAAAAUCCAUAUUAUAAUUUUCUUUGAUUUCUUAGAGAAACUGAGUUCCCCCAAUGCCCGGCAUACAGAGGAAGAUGAAGAGGGCAAGACGAAGACGUACAGGAGACGAGGUAAAGGGAUUUAAUUUCAAUUAUUAGAGUGUAAUGUAGAUGAUUAACUCUUUUCUGACGUCCAUUCUCAAUUCUGGCUACGUAGUACAUAUCCGAUGACGGUGAUUUUGGGGAGGACCUGCUUAGCGAGUUGCCGGAUGAAAUUCUUAUUUCAAUACUAUCUCGCCUAACCCUAAGGGAAGCUGCGGCUACCAGUGUUCUCUCACAGCGNNNNNNNNNNNNNNNNNNNNNNNNNNNNNNNNNNNNNNNNNNNNNNNNNNNNNNNNNNNNNNNNNNNNNNNNNNNNNNNNNNNNNNNNNNNNNNNNNNNNAAAAUGUAUAUUCUUAGCUAUAGUCCUUGCUUGUGUAAAUGAUUUUGACUCCCUGGCAUUUUAUUUUACAGUUAAAAUGGCGAACUCAAAUCAUACCAGUCGCAAAAAGAUAUGCCAAGGCAUUGAUCCAAUAUUCCCAUCAAUACCUGAAACUGGUGAAAAUUGUUGGUUUUAAUGAUUGUAGCAGUGCUUGUGAGCUAGUCAUGCAGAUUAUUGAAAAUGCUAUUGCACUCGAGAAAAUUAUCAUUGAUACAAGCCAAGGACAUAGGAGGAGGGGACCAUGGUUGAAGAGACAACUAGCUGCAAGAACAAGAGCUGAGCAAUUGAAAUCACAUGUACCUCCGAGCCUGGAAUUUAUAGUACUUUAAAUCUUAAGCAGGUGUAUGGUUUUGGAAUUCAAUUUUUUUUAGUAUCUACUUCUGAUGUUUGGUAUUAAUAUUAAGAAUUUAUGGUCUCAAUUAAUGCUUAUUUGGUUUGCUUAAUUGUGAAUGAGAGUGCUGCACAAACUUAAAAAUUCUCCUAAUGCAUUUUGGGGAUCGAGGGAUUCACGACUUCCAUACUCCCAAAACCCUCUUGCGUUAAUAAGCCAGUUGCAUAUUCCCUAGAUAUCGUCAUUGUGUCUUCUUUCAAUUGCAAUAUGAAGACCAUGUCUUAUCUUAUAGGUAAAAGUACAUUUUGAUACUAGCACAUGCACUUGAGAGGAGUAGGAAAGAGUUCAUCUAGAAGAUUAAAAAAUGUUGAAGAUUUAAAGAUUAAGGUGGUGUUUGUUUUUUUGGUUUUUUGCUGAAAGCAAUUUGUUUUCAGAAUUUAGGAUGUUUGUUUUUAUACUUUUUUAUGACUUAUUAUAGACUUUUUAUUAAAUAGAAAAAACCAAAAUAUGUAAUUUUUUCUAAAUAGAAAAAAUAACAUAUUGAUUUUUCUUUACUUUUUAAUAUUUAAUAAAAAUAAAAUACUACAAAAACAAACAAUCUAAUAUUUAACACUAUUAAGCAUUUAUGUUCUAUUUAAAAUUAAGUAAAAAAACAAACACCAUCUAAGAAUUAAUAGUUGAAGAAUUCAUAAAUUGAGUUUUGAGGCCCUUUAAAAUCAAGUUUGAAAAAUCCAAAACCAAGCAUUCACACCCUUUGAUUAUCAUUGUUCAAUUCAAGUGAAGCCGAUUCAAAGGCUAGAUCAUGCUGAAGGCCAAGUCAUAAUAAGACCCAAAUCAAGUUAAAACCCAAGUCAAUGUGACCAAAAGCCAUGUGAAGGUCAAGAGUAGUCAAAUUUCAAGUAACACCAAAGGCCAAACUAAGUCAAAUCCCAACUCAAGCCAAUACAAAUCAAGUAAAAAUUUAAAGUCAAACCAGUGUUUAAGUCAAGUCCAUGCCCAAGCCAUGUCAAGACCUAAGUCAAUGCAUGUCCAGUGCAAAGGUAUACCUCUUCAAUAAUGCCUGGGUUUGUAAUGAUUCUUCCAUACACCACUUUGAUUGUUGUUCAAAAUUGUUUGUCAAUGGUGGAUUAAUCUGCUUAACAGUUGCUCAAUGACAAACAAAUCCACAAAAAAUGAACUUCACCGUAACUACUGAUCAUCAUUUUAAGCAGAAUCUACCAAACGGACCAAACCUCAUCUUUCUUCCUCUUCUAUUCUUCCUUCUUUACAUAUUUUCUUUUAUCAAAGUUCGAAUACUGCUAAAAUUUCGGCCAUUUCCUCAGUCAGAAUUUACAACCUUUGUUUUGGACGGGGGGUUUAGGUUGAGCUUAACUGCAUGCACAUGAAAGUAAGUUUUAGGAACAUGCUAUGUACCGUAAGGUACCUAUCAAGUCCAAAUCUAGACCAUUGGAUAUGUAUAGUGAGAUUUAGGCAUUGAACAAGGGUACAAGAAAAUGAGACCAAUGUAUAAGGGUAUAAACAAAUGAGAUUAUGAUAUAAACAAUAAAACUUAAAAAAAUUGUACAUACACUACUUGAUUGAUGGUGUGUUUUUAAUACGUAUUGAAAAAAAUAUCAUUAGCUAGGUAUCAUAAAUGAACCUUAAGUUUUAAUAUUCACUUCUUCCUUAUAUUCUUCAACAGUAGGACACGCCUUUUCAUUAAAGUUCAUUUUCAAAAGUAGUUUUCCUAACAUUUUUCAAACACUUCUUUCAUAUCCUCAUUUUUUUUUUUUAAGAACAAAACUCCAUUUUUUGAACUUGGAAUGUUGUCAAAAUGUUUUUUAUAUUUUCAAAUAUUUUUAAAAAAUAACUUAUACAUAUAAUGCUUUAUUUUUAAUCAUUUUUUAUAUUUAUACAAUUAUUUUUUUUUAAAAAAAACCUCAAAGAACAAGUAAAAACAAUUAAAUUAUGUCAUCUGCAAGGCAACUUGUUUUUAAAACAAUUUUCAAAAACGUGUUUUGUAAAUGAUUGAUCGUCAAACAUGUUUUCAUAUUUUUCAGUUCUUAAAAAUAAUUAAAACUUAGUUUUGAAAACAAUUUUGAAACAUAGUCCAAUCCUAUAUAUGUAUAUCCUAAAAUUGGGAGUAUAUGUUGUAUAAUUUAUGAGUAAUAUCAUAAAAUAAUUAUCUGAAGUGACUUUUGGAUAAAAAAGGAAAGAGAAAAAAAUGAUUUUAGUAUUUUAAUUAAAGUGAUUUUCAAAUUUUUUGAAAAUGGCAUUAAAUUUUUUUGUUAAACAUUGGAUUUGUACAAGAAGAACACUUUCAAUAAAACCAUUUUAAUCACUCUCUCAAUAUAAACAAAAAAUUGGAGAUGGGUACUUUUAAUCUAAUUGAAAAAGAAUGUUAAAAAUAUUUAUAUGCAAUUUCAAAUAAUUUUUGAACCAAAACUCUAUAGUGCCCUCAUGGACACACAGAUUCAUGAAUUAUUAUUAUUUGUCCUUUAUGUCACAUGUUUUAUGUCCAAAGAUUUAUCAAUAUUGCGUGGGACCAAAUGAAUGAUGUUCAUACAUUUGGGUCUUCUAUGUCUUUUUGAAAUACCCCAUCCAAAAAUAAUUUCAAUUUGGAAGCACAUAAUAUGAUAUAUGUGGGAGCAAAUGAUAGAGAUUUGCUUCAUUUUAUCAAAUAAUUGAAUUGAGGAUAAGAUAUACAUUAAUGUAAUCUCAUCCUAUUGAAGUGAAGGAGAUUUUAGUAUAAUAAUUUUGUGAUUAUUAAUUUAGGAAUAUUAGAUUUUUAUCAUUGACAUUGGCUUAGCAAGGAUUUUAUUACCUACGGCAAGACGUAACAAAAAAGGCAAAAAGACUUACAAAAGAUUCCAUUUAUAAACUCUUUGGUCCCUUAAAAUUAAAAGAACAAACAAUUGUCACAAUCAUACUCUUUUAUUGAUGGACUUGGGAGAUGAUAGAAAUGGAAGUUAAUAGAUAACUCUUCAUAGAUGAUUUUGAUAACAAACAAACGAUGAUUGAAAUAGGGAUGGUAUAUGCAACACCCAAACUAUAUAUCAAUCAUAUUUUCAUACGACGGAUGAAGCACAGUAUCGAACCAUCGCCGCAUUUACAUUGGCACAGGGUCUAUAAGCAUCCAUGCAAUAAGAUCUUUCAUCAACUUCCCCACAUGUGUGUACUCGUCUUGAUUCUUGUAUAAGAGAUCUAUCACACGGGCAAAAUUAACAACACAUGUGAGAAGAGGCAUGGGCACUUGUGUACGUUUGAGACACUCCUCAUUCAUAUCCUUCCAUGCAUUCAUUAUUUCAUUAUUGAACUCCUCACACGCCUCUUGCUCAGUAACACCAUAUUGCUUCAUGUAGCAUUGAACUCUUGAGACAACAUAUCCUCUUUUUUGCUCAAACUGUCCAACAAAAAAAAGGAGAAAAUCAAACAAUUUCUAUUGUAUUAAGUUUCCUAUAUAGAUUACUUAAAACUAUAUUUAGUCAUAUAUAAUUAAAAUUAAUAAGAAACUUAUAUAUUUUAAAAUUAUUUAAUUUUUAUAUAAAAGAAUUAAAUAAGUGAAAUAGGGUACCUCAUGGUCAACUAUGUCAUCCAUGAGCCUGCAAAUGAUUGCUGAAGCUCUAACCAUCUUGGGGUCACUGAAAACCCAAUCGAAGGCCUUCUUGGUUACCAUAUCUCCCAUGCCAACAAAAGAUAUGGUUGCGAGCUGAAAGUAGCCACAACUUACUAGUGCAUUGGUCAUGUACUCCUCAAUUGUUGGUAUAUAUUCUUGCUUCAACCAUUUGGCUUCAACAAAAUAGGCUUGGACUUGCUUUUUCAUCUGAGUUACAUAAUCAUGCAAAAUAUACAUUAAUUUUGGCCAUACCAAACACAAUUCAACGGAACAAUAGGUCUAUGUUUAGUAGCUAGGAAAUUUUGAGGAAAAAUAUAAGAGAGAAUGUAAAAACGGAAAAGUAAAAGAAAAGAAAUGAUGAAAAAUAUAUAUUUAUAUAUAUAUAUAUAUAUAUAUAUAUAUAUAUAUAUUUAAAGCCGUAAAUUAUUUUUAUAUGCUAUUUUAAAUUCAUUUAACUUAUUUUAAUCCUUUAAUAUAAAAAUUAAAUAAUUUGAAAAUACAUAAUUUCCUAACUAAUUUUAAUUAUAUUUUAUUUUUUUAUUUUAUUUUCUGUCAUGUGAGAAUUAUUUUUCUUAUCAUUUUUUUUUUUCUUUCCUUCCUUAUGCUUACGAGAACCAAAUAUAACCUAAGGGAUCUAGAAGAAGAAGGGACAUUGAUGCCAAACUGCUUGUUUUGCAUAGUGAACACGGUAUGGUUUUUCUUGCUUGGUCAUCUCUUCCUCUAUUUCUUCAAAGACAUCUAAGAGAGCCUGAUAACACAACUUCAUAUAAUCUGGGAGUUGAUCUAUGCUGCCGGCAUCCCAUCUGCAAGUAAAGCAACAGAUAUAUUUGGAACUUUCUACCAGAAACUAGAAAUUAAGGUAAAGAUGGUGAUGUUCAUGUAUAUAUCAAACCUCUCAAUCGCUUCGGCAAAGAGUUUGAGUUCUUCAAAUGUACCAUGUGUGUCAUAUAUAUCAUCUAUAAUGGAUGUCAUGGCGAAUACUUUCAGUAAGAUCCUUCUAGCAAGGAAAUAUUGGGGCUCAAAGUACACUCCCAAUACCCAAAAGUAUCCCUCCACUAUUCUGUCCCUUGCAAAGGGUAGCUUUGUAGCAAAAUCUAAACCUUUCCACCACCUGAUCAAAGAUAUAUCAAUAGAUGAUCAGAGUCAUGAGAGUUGCUCAACAGCUAGCUUUCUGCAAACAAUUGGAGUUAAAAAACUUACUUAGUGAUCUCACUCAGCUCUUUCCUGUGGAGUGACUGCAACAGGUUGAAAUCUAACUUUGCAAGCUUAAGUAAAGAUUUAUUAUGUGAAUCAUAUUCUUGGUAGAUGGAAAUGUAGUGCCUUGCCUCCACCCUUAUUAAGCUCUUGCGAAUCGGCCGCUCUAGAGCGUGAAUCACUUGUUUUUGAGAGGAUUAUCUGAAUCAGGUGCCAUGGACUGAAGGUGGGCAGUGGUGAAAGCCUGGGCUUCAUCCAGUAUGUCUUCUCCAUGCACCAUUAAAUGUGUAGCUUCAUAUAGAGCUAGCAUGCCUGGUAAGUCACCCACCAAUGAUUCCUUGAAGUUGCCUUCCUCGUCCUUGAACUUCUUAAAUACAUCUAUUUCAUCAUCAAGGUUUAAUAUAUAACCAUUAAAUCAAAGAUAAUUUAUUCAAGACGACAUAUAUAUAUAUUUAUUUAUGAACUUCUUUUGAUCAUGUAGUAUUGUUUUAAAAUCGUGAGAACUUCUUGGAUCAGAUCAGUUAUUCAAGAUGACAUAUACAUAUUUAUGAACUCUUUUUAAUCAUGUAGAUGUGUUUUAAAGUAAAGAGGGUUUCUUGGACCAAAGCGGAUAAUAUCUACAAGAAAAACCACUGAAAGUUCAAUAGGGAACACCUAAAAGGAUGAUGAUCUUCAACCCAAGAUUCAAAGAUCUAAUCCUUAAAUGAGAUAUUAGGAAUGGUGUGACACUUUAGGCCUUCUCUCUAAGAUCCUUUCCAAGGAAUGAAAGGUCCCUCAAUAAUCUCUUUCCAAUAUCUUGAAAUUCAUCCAAAAUUCGUUUCUAAUUUUGGUAGGACUAUCAUGAUCUCUUAAGCGGACUUAUGCCACUUGAGUGGGAUUAGUUAUUUGAGUAGCCCCUGCUUCUUUUGAAAAAUCAUUUUAUAACAUUUUAAGUCUAAAAAUGAUACUGAACAUUUUUAUACUUCAAAGGAGCCUAAUAUGUCAUAUGUCAAACCUCUUUAGACGUACCCAUGACAUCCCAAUUGGACGAAAAACAACUCUUGAUCUUCAGUGAAGAGUAAGUCACUAUAAAAAAAGACUUCUAUAAUCAAAUAUUAAAAGGAAUAAAUCUACCAACAUAUAAAUAAGACUUAAUGUCCUAAUAUACAUGUUUGUAAGGUGGUUAUAAUUAGUAUCAAAGCCCAUCCAAACUCUGGUGUGAAAGUUCAUUUAGUCUCGCAAUCCCAUGAAACAUAACGAGAAUGAUUGUGAUAUCCUAUGUCGAAUAGGAGAAAAACUUUUUGAUACCAUAUAUAUAGACCCUUCUUAAUCAUGUAGACUUGUUUUAAAAUUGUGAGAGCCCUUUGAACUAGAAUCAAUAGUAUUUACAUGGUUAAUAGUAGAUCAUUACACAUACUCGCAGCAAAUAUGGGACAAAAGCUUUUACCGGAUGGAAUGUGGUAGCCUUCUUGUCUUAGUAACCGGAUUCGAAGAGCAGCACUGGCAAGGUCAUCGUUAUCAUCAUCAACCAAAUUAUAUGUUUCAUACAUAACUUUUAAUGCUUCUUCUAUCUCCCUUUCAAAGUGGUAAGCCAAGCCCGAGCGUUGGAUGGAAUCUAUGAAGUUCAGCAGUUGUGAAGACUUCCCAGCAGUAGCUUUUAGCUCCUUUCUCACUUCUUCUUUCAGUCCUUCAAGUUCUUUUUCUUUGCAGGCAUGUGUUACCUGGACCAAAAAUUAUAUAAACAACAUAAACAUCUAAUACUACAAAAAAUAAUUUUUUUUUAGAACUUCAAGUAUUUACCGUAUCAUCAGGAAUGUAGGUGAGGAAACAGUCACCCCAGAAGUUGGGAACAAAGUUUGCAGUGUUGCGAGCCAGCUUAGGAUCAGCCUUCUGGGUGAUUGAUAGUGGGAAAGAAGACAUACUUUGGCCAGAGAAGAAGCCUAAGAAAGUGUCGUUGCUUCUUAUGCCCUUGUCGGUGGUAUGUGGAAGUGGAACUCAUGCAUUUAUAGGCCGGGCAGCUAGGCUUCUUAGUUUUGAGAAAAUCAUUUCCUUUCCGUUUUUUUUUCUUUUCUUAAUAUUUUCUGGAGCCAAAUAUAACCAAAACAAUUAUCUGAAGUGAUUUUUGGAAAAAAAAAAUAAAAAAAUGCUUUUGGUCUUUUAAUUAAAGUGAUUUUCAACAUUUUUAAAAGUGAUAUUAAAUUUUUUUGUUAAACAUUGGAUUUGUACAAGAAGAGAACUUUCAAUAAAACGAUUUUAAUUACUCUCUCAAAAAUGUAUAAACAAAAAAUUGGAGAUGGGUAUUUUUAAUCUAAUUGAAAAAGAAUGUUAAAAAUAUUUAUAUGCGAUUUCAAUAAUACCCUCAUGGACAUCAUUCAAGACAUUAUUAUUUGUCGGUAACAUGUCACAUAUUUCAUAUGCAAAGAAUAUGCGAAGAUUUAACAAUAUUGUGGGGGACCUGAUGUUCAUACAUUUGAAUUGAGGAUAAGAUAAGAUGAUCAACAUUGAUGCACUCUCAUCCUAUUGAAGUAAAGGAGAUUUUAGUAUAAUAAUUUUGUGAUUAUUUAUUUAGGAUAUUCGAUUUUUAUCACCUUUUGUGGACAUUGGCUUUCCAAGGAUUUUUUUAUUUUUUAUUUUAUUAUAAAGCCAAUAAUUAUAAAACUGUCAAAAUUGUGAAAAUAUUGUGGAUUGAAGUCGAGCAUGUUAACAAGGUAAACUUAUACUCUACAUUUGCUAAAAACCACCAAAAUUGUGAUUCGGAAUUUUUGUAGGAUGGGAUUUAACAAUAAAAAACUCUUUUUUACAAGUAAGAAGUUAGGAGAUUGUUUGGGAAUGAUAAUUUAGAACAAUUUUUUGUUUUUUAUAACAAAAAACAAAAAAAAAUAUGUUGGACAAUUAAAAAUUGUUUUUUGUUUUAUGUUAUUUAGAAUAAAAAAUAUGAUAUUUUCAAAUAACAUCUUUUUAUUGUUUUUUAUUAUUUUUACUUAUUUUCAAAUAAUAUUUUUUUAGAACUCUUAAUAUUUACCGUAUCAUGGGGGGUGUAGGUGAGGAAACAGUCACCCCAGAAGUUAGGAAGAAAGUUUGCAGUGUUGCGAGCCAGCUUCGGAUCAGCCCUCUGGGUGAUUGAUAGUGAGAAAGAAGCCAUGCUUUGCCUAAAGAAGAAACUUAAGAAAGUGUCGUUGCUGCUUAUGCCCUUGCGGGUGGUAUGUGGAAGUAGAACUCAAUGUAUUUAUAGGGAAGCCCUGGUUUCUCUAGGCUGUUUGGAUUCAUAGAAAAAAAAAUAUAUAUAUAUAUAUAUAUAUAUAUAUAUAUAUAUAGAAAUAGCUAGAUUAAAGAUGGACAAGGUGGAAGCUCAUGCUACAUGUGUUAUAAUAUCAAAAAAUAAUUGUAUAAAAGAUCACAAAUGAGCUUAAUCCUUUAAAAAAACAAACAAAAAAAAAGAAUAUUGAAGUAUAGAAAUUUCAAGAUAAUAAUAUUUUUUUUUGUUAAAUAUAUAUCACCUGUUAUUUGGGUGGAGCAAAUAGCAGCAAAUUCGAUGAUUCCAAAAAAAUCAAACACAGUCACACUCAAUUAAUUAAUUAAUUUAUUUUCUUUUACUUUAAAUUUGGAGAUGGGCAUUUUUAAUCUAAUUAAAAAAGAAUGUUAAAAAUAUUUAUAUGCCAUUUCAGAUAAUAUUUGAACCAAAACUCUAUAAUGCCCUCAUGGACAUAGAGAUUCAUGACUUAUUAUUAUCUAUCGCUAACAUGUCACAUGUCUUAUAUGCAAAGAUUUAACAGUAUUGUGGGGGACCAAAUGAAUGAUGUUCAUACAUUUAAAUGAGGAUAAGAUAAGACGAACAUUGAUGCACUCUCAUCCUAUUGAAGUAAGGGAGAUUUUAGGAUAUUCAUUUUUUAUUUCCUUUUGUGGACAUUGGCUUACCAAGGAUUUUUUUUUCUUUUAUGAUAAAUCUAAUAAUGAUAAAACUGUCAAAAUUGUGAAAAUAUUGUGGAUUGAAGUUGAGCAUGUUAACAAGGUAAACUUAUACUCUACAUUUGCUAAAAACCACCAAAAUUGUGAUUCGGAAUUUUUGUAGGAUGGGAUUUAGCAGUAAAAAAACUCUUUUUUACAAGUGAGAAGUUAUGAGUUUGUUUGGAAAUGACAGUCUAGAACAAUUUUUUGUUCUUCAUAACAAAAAAACAUUAAAAAUGGGUUGGACAAUUAAAAAUUAUUUUUUAUUUUAUGUUAUUUAGAAUAGAAAAUAAGAUGUUUUCAAAUAACAUCUUUUAGUUUUUUUUUUUUUCACUUAUUUUCAAAUAAUAUUUUUUUAGAAUUCUUAAUAUUUACCGUAUCAUCAGGGUGUGGGUGAGGAAACAGUAACCCAGAAGUUAGGAAGAAAGUUUGCAGUGUUGCAAGCCAGCUUAGGAUCAGCCCUCUGGGUGAUUGAUAGUGAGAAAGAAGCCAUACUUUGCCUAAAGAAGAACCUUAAGAAAGUGUCGUUGCUGCUUAUGCCCUUGUGGGUGGUAUGUGGAAGUAUAACUCAUAUUUAUAGGGAAGCCCUGGUUUCUCUAGGCUGUUUGGAUUCAUAGAAAAAAUAUAUAUAUAUAUAUGGAAAUAGCUAGAUUAAAGAUGGACAAGGUGGAAGCUCAUGCUACACGUGUUAUAAUAUCAAAAAAUGAUUGUAUAAAAGAUCACAAAUGAGCUUAAUCCUUUUUUUAAAAAAUAAUAAUAAUAUUGAAGUAUAGAAAUUUCAAGAUAAUAAUAUUUUUUUUGUUAAAUAUAUAUCACCUGUUAUUUGGGUGGAGCAAAAAGCAGCAAAUUCGAGGAUUCCAAAAAAAUCAAACAUAGUCACACUCAAUUAAUUAAUUUAUUUAUUUUCUUUUACUUUAAAUUUGUUGGGGUUAAGAUGAGGCAAAAUAAAAUAUGUGGACCCAAUUAAUGGAUUAUCAAUAUUUUAAAUUAAUAAAAAUUGAACUAGAAUAUACAUUUUUAGAACUGAUUUUUGUUGGGGGCCUAGUGUGAUGAUCGAUGUUGAUCUAUUGAGUUUUGCAACAAUUAAAUGUAAAGAGAAAACAUGAAAAAUUAUAUUAUCAAAUUUAUAUUAAGAGUUCCUAAGAAUUUGUUUGAUAAUUAUUAUACAACGUACUUUUGAUAUAAAAAAUGUCUUUGAAAAAAAAAAUUAUAUAUUUGGUAAAAUUUUAAAAAUAUUUUUAAAACUUUUAAAAAUAACUUUUAGAGUUGAAGAAAGUAGGCAUUGAUAGAAAAUAUUUUUAAAAGAAUUACUUAAAGUGUUUUUUUUUUUUUUGUUUUUUUUUUUUAUGUUAAAAACAUUUUUUUAAAAAUAUUUAAUUUAUCAAAUACUUAAUUAAUUUUUUUUUUUAAGUUAAAAACACUUUUUAAAAUCAUUAUCAAACUUACUUUUUAAUUUAGUUUGUGGUAUAAAAAUAAUUAGGAUCAACAUUUUAAAAGUCUUAUUUCAGAACAUUUUGGAAAAAGUUAUUAGUUCCAAAUUAUUUUUAACUUAUUUUUCAUAAAAAUAUUAAUUAGUUUACAGUAAUCUAUAAAAUACAAUUGGAAACAUAAAGUUUCUUUUGAAAAACAAACCCUAUUCAAAACAAAUAAAAAACAUAAAUAAAAGCCAAUUUUAUGUUAAUUCUUAAGCAUUUUAUAUUUGUUGUAUUGCGCUCAAAUAUAGUUAAUAUAUUAUUUUUUGAAAAAAAAAACAUAUUUUCACAUGCUCAUAUAAAAAUAAUUAUAAAAUAAUAAAAUUUUAAAAAUAAUUCAAAUUUUAAAAACAAACCCUAUGUACCGAGCUGUUUCUUUAUCAUCCUCAUCAAACUUCACAUUAGAUGUCGUAUGCUAUAUCUUCAUUUUCAUUGUGUGGUUUGUAGUAGUAUUCUUCUAUUUUUUUCUUUCGAUUUUUGAGGAAGACAUAAAUUGGAAUAUUGUUAUGAGGGAAUAAAAUCUUAUAUAAAUUGGAUUGUUUGGAGGGAAGAAAUCUUAUGCAGAUUGCUUGGCAUGGUUGGUGCCACAUCCUAAUUUCCAUACCAUGGCCUACUAUUUUAGAUUUUAGUUGGCUUGUGGGCUCUCUCCCUAAUUAGUUGGCAAAAGUUUCCCUUUUCAAAGAAGUAUUUGUCGGAUUUUUCAUCUUGGUUGUCGAAAGUACAUAUAAUAAAAUUUACAUCAGUGUAUGAUAAUAUAAAUAAUAAAGAUGUAAAAGAAUGAUAUAAAAAACAGAUGAUGGGACCAAGAUAUAAAGUAGUAGGACCGAAUUUGAUACAAAAUAAUGAGACAUGAACGUGAUUGAUCAAGUUUUUAUAUAUCAACCAAACCCUAUUAAGAUUUAGCUAGCUUGGUUUCUUUUGUGAUUUGAUGUUUCUAAGAUGGGGAGAAGAUGAGUUUUUUUUUUUUUUUUUUUUUGAACAUUUGUAUAUAAUCCAACCAAAAAAAAGGAAGCUAUUAUUAUUUCACAACAAUAUGGUAACAGUGCAUUGCAUUCUUACUGUCCUAACCCAAUUAAAUCUCAAAUGCAAUAGGAAACAUCGUAAAGCCAAAGCCACAAUUAUAUGGGCAAAGGGUCUAUGAGUAUGGAUGCAAUGAGAUCUUUUGUAAUGUUUUCAACAUGUGUGUACUUGUCUUUGUCCUUAUACAGGACAUCCAUGACGUGGAUAAGAUUAAGAAUAAGUGUGAGGAGAGACAUUAGUGUUUGUGUAGGUCUAAGCAAUGUUUUUAGAAUUGAACCGGUCAUUAAACUGAAAAAGUUACUAGUUCACGGUUCACUGGUUAGAUCAAUGGUCGAAUCGCGGUUAAAGUGUUUUUUUUUUAUUUUUUAUGUUAAAAACGUUUAUAGGGAAGUAGAACUCAAUGUAUUUAUAGGGAAGCCCUGGUUUCUCUAGGUUGUUUGGAUUCAUAGAAAAAAAUAUAUAAUAUAUAUAUAUAUAUAUAUAUAGAAAUAGCUAGAUUAAAGAUGGACAAGGUGGAAGCUCAUGCUACAUGUGUUAUAAUAUCAAAAAAUAAUUGUAUAAAAGAUCACAAAUGAGCUUAAUCCUUUAAAAAACAAACAAAAAAAAAGAAUAUUGAAGUAUAGAAAUUUCAAGAUAAUAAUAUUUUUUUUUUGUUAAAUAUAUAUCACCUGUUAUUUGGGUGGAGCAAAUAGCAGCAAAUUCGAUGAUUCCAAAAAAAAUCAAACACAGUCACACUCAAUUAAUUAAUUAAUUUAUUUUCUUUUAUUUUAAAUUUGGAGAUGGGCAUUUUUAAUCUAAUUAAAAAAGAAUGUUAAAAAUAUUUAUAUGCCAUUUCAGAUAAUAUUUGAACCAAAACUCUAUAAUGCCCUCAUGGACAUAGAGAUUCAUGACUUAUUAUUAUCUGUUGCUAACAUGUCACAUGUCUUAUAUGCAAAGAUUUAACAAUAUUGUGGGGGACCAAAUGAAUGAUGUUCAUACAUUUGAAAUGAGGAUAAGAUAAGAUGAACAUUGAUGCACUCUCAUCCUAUUGAAGUAAAGGAGAUUUUAGCUAGUAUAAUAAUUUUGUGAUUAUUGAUUUAGGAUAUUCAUUUUUUAUUACCUUUUGUGGACAUUGGCUUACCAAGGAUUAUUUUUUCUUUUAUUAUAAAUCCAAUAAUGAUAAAACUGUCAAAAUUGUGAAAAUAUUGUGGAUUGAAGUCGAGCAUGUUAACAAGGUAAACUUAUACUCUACAUUUGCUAAGGUAAACUUAUACUCUACAAGGUAAACUUAUACUAUCAUCCUCAUCAGACCUCACGUUAUAUGUCAUAUGCUAUAUCUUCAUUUUCAUCGUGUGGUUUGUAGUAGUAUUCUUCUAUUUUUUUCUUUCGAUUUUUGAGGAAGACAUAAAUUGGAAUAUUGUUUCGAGGGAAUAAAAUCUUAUAUAAAUUGGAUUGUUCUGAGGGAAGAAAUCUUAUCCAGAUUGCUUGGCAUGGUUGGUGCCACAUCCUAAUUUCCAUACCAUGGCCUACUAUUUAGAUUUUAGUUGGCUUGUUGGCUCUCUCCCUAAUUAGUUGGCAAAAGUUUCCCUUUCCGAAGAAGUAUUUAUCGUAUUUUUCAUCUUGAUUGUCGAAAAUAUAUAUAAUAAACUUUACAUCAGUGUAUGAUAAUAGAUGUAAAAGAAUGAUAUCAAAAACAGAUGAUGGGACCAAGAUAUAAAGUAGUAGGACCGAAUUUGAUACAAAAUAAUGAGACUUGAACGUGAUUGAUCAAGUUUUUAUAUAUCAACCAAACCCUAUUAAGAUUUAGCUUGGUUUCUUUUGUGAUUUGAUGUUUCUAAGAUGGGGAGAAGAUGAGUUUUUUUUUUGUUUUUUUUUAUUGAACAUUUGGUAUAUAAUCCAACCAAAAAAAAGGAAGCUCUUAUUAUUUCACAACAAUAUGGUAAUAGUGCAUUGCAUUCUUACCCUGCUAGCCCAAUUAAAUCUCAAAUGCAAUAGGAAACAUCAUAAAGCCAAAGCCACAAUUAUAUGGGCAAAGGGUCUAUGAGUAUGGAUGCAAUGAGAUCUUUCAUAAUGUUUUCAACAUGCGUGUACUUGUCUUUGUCCUUAUAAAGGAUAUCCAUGACGUGGAUAAGAUAAAAAACAUGGAUAAUUGUAUUUUGAACCUCAAAAAAUUAAGUUUUAAUCCAUAUAAGUUCAUUAUUUAAACCCAAAAUUUAGAGAAAGUGUGAAAUUGAAAAGAAUGAUAUUAAUUUUUUAUCUUUUAAAAAAUGACCUUUAUUGACUAUGAAAAAAAGAGUAAAAAAAUAUUAAUUUAAAUUUUAUUCAUUUUUUAAAUCUCACUAAAAUUUAAUUUAAUUUAGUGAUUUGGAAAAAAAUACACCCUUUUCCAAAAAAAUAAAAAAAAAUUAUUAUUAUUUAAAAAUCAAACAUCUUGAAAAAUAUAUAUUUUUAAAAUUGUAUGUAAAAAAUAACUAAAAAUAUGUCAAAAUUAAUUUUUUUAAAUGUAAUAAUUUUAGAAUAUAUAUAUAUAUAUAUUUAAAAAAAAUUAGUUUUCUACAAAUAAUAAAUUUUCGGAAUAAUUAUUAAAAAAAAAUUAAGAUAAAAAAGUUUAUCAAAUAUUAUGAUAGAAAAUAUUCAAAUUAGUUUUAAAUGGUAUAUUAGUCUCUUCAUAUUUUAUAUCAUUCCUAUCAAUUGUGCACCUUUUAUGAGCCAAAUAUUAAUUUUUGAGCUCAAUACUCAUCUUUGUCCUUGUACAAGACAUCCAUGACACGAAUAAAAUUGAGAACAAGUAUGAGGAGAGGCAUCAGUGCUUGCAUAGGUCUGAGAAACUCCUCAUUUAUAUCAUUCUAGGCAUUCAUCAUUUGGUUAUUCAACUCCUCAUACACUUUUUACUCAAAAACCCCAUAUUGCUUCAUGUUGCAUUCCACGUUAGAGGCUAUGUGCCCUCUCUUUUGCUUAAACUAUACAAAAAGUGAAAAUCAAAUUAACAUUCAACAUUAUAUUGAAUUUUUUAGAGUUUAUAAAGUGAAUGACGGUAUAACAUAAUGUUUGAUUGUAAAGCCUAAAUUAGUUUUAUUAUACUGCAUAAAGAGUGUUGAGGGUUGAGCUUCUCACUGAGAUCAAAGAAAUUUUUUUAUUUAUUGAAUGAUGAGUUUGCCUCUAGUUGUUAUAUCUAACUCUCUUAUGAUUUAGGAUUUUUUUUUUAGAGAGUGAAAAUCACGCGUAACCAUAAUUGAGAAGAGAAUGAGAGCUUUUACCAUUGCAACCCUUAUAUAUAUAUUUUUUCGUUUAAUCAAUGGAUUCUUAAAUAUUGAUGUGCUCUAUGAACAUAGAGGUCAUAUUAAUUACCAAAUCACAUUAAAAUCCCAUCCUUUUCUUUAUUUAUGCUUGUGUGUGAUCAUGUUAAUAUAUAGUUAUCAUCUAAUUAUACUUGAUGGGAAAUGAUGUCAUCCAUGAGCCUACAAAUGAUUGAUGAAGCUCUAAUCAUCUUAUGGUUGCUGAAUAUCCAAUCAAAAGCUUCCUUUGUUGCUAUAUCUCCCGUGCCAAUGAAGGAUGUGGCUAGCAUAGAGUACCCACAACUUACUAACGCGUUACUCAUAUACUCAUCCAUGCUCGGUAUGUAUUCUUGGUGGAACCAUUUUGCUUCAGCAAAGUAGGAUCGGAUUAGUUUUUCAUCUGGGUUAUAACAUUAUGUUCCUAGCUUGUACAAUAUAAAUCACGUCAUUGAAAGGUAAAAAAAAAAUAUAUAAAGAGGAAGGACAAACCGCUGCUUUUGCAUAUGGAACACUACAUAGUUUACCUUCCUUGGCCAACUCUUCCUCAAUUUCUUCAUAAACAUCUAAGACAGCUUGAUAACACAAUUUCAUAUAGUCUGGGAGUUGGUCCAUGUUGCUGAUGUUCCAUAUCUGAAAGUGAACAGAUGAAGAUGCACUUAGAUAACUUUGAAUCCGUAAUCUCCAAAAAAAAAUGUAGAAAUUAAAUUGAAGAUAACAAUAUGCAUCUGUCAACCUCUCAAUUGCUUCUGUAAAGAGUUCGAGCUCGUCAAAUGUGCCAUACACAUUUUAUACAUCAUCCACAAUGGAUGUCGUGGCCAUUACUUUGGUUAGGACCCUUCUAGCAAGUAAGUACUGGGGCUCAAACCAUACCCCCAAUACCCAAAAGUAGCACUCCACCAGUCUGUCCCGAGCAAAAGAUAGUUUUGUUGCAAAGUCUAAAUCUUUCCACCACCUGAAAUGGGUAAACUCCGGCAGAUUAUUAGUAUAUUCUAUCUACCUUGUGAGCUUGACACAUGUAAUGUUGGAUUGUGAAGCCCGGAUCAGUAUUAUUCCACUACUCAAAAGGACAUGGAGGGUUAACUUCCUCCUGAUCAUUUAACCCCUUAUGUGUAACUGCAAUUGAGAGGAGAAAGAGGUCAGUCCUAUCAUGUCUUUCUAAGGAGGAAAGAGGGAAACAAAGUAAAAAAAAAUCAUGUGAUACUGAAUGUAUCCAUAAGACAGCCCUAGAUGAUUGUGUGGUGGGGUGUGGAAUAUCAAAGAUAUUCGCUUCAAUUAUGUGAAUGAAAAUUAUGGCUUGUGUUACUCAUGUGCCUAUUAUAGUACAUGUGGGUCACAUCCCUUUCUGGAUUGUUUGAGGAAAACGGAUAUCUUGUUCUGGAAAUGUACCUGAGCUUGUUUCUCAUCCAUCCAGUGGUCAUUUUGGACUGCAAAUGAAAGCUUUGGCUGUUAAUCUUGUACUACUCCAUAUACCCUCCUUGCUUUUUACUUUUAAUUUGGGUGUGUUAUUUGAAUCAAAAUCUUGUGUUACCCGCGCAUUUUCAGGAUAGCUCUGGAUCUUUUUGGACGUUGCUUAUUGGCUGGAUAUGACCAAUGUUUUCAAAACCGGACCGGUGAUCGAACCGGAAAAGUUACCGGUUCACGGUUCACCGGUCGGACCGGCGGUCGAACCGCUAUCGAACCGGUGACGUCAUAAAUAUAUAAUUUAUAUAUUAUUAAAAUUAAAAAUAAUUAUAAAAAUUUUAAAAUAUAUAUGAAUAAAUUAAACAUCAAUAAUAUUAUUUUAUAUCUUUGAUAUUAUCAAAUUAAAUCAUAUUAAUAUUUUAAAUUUUAUUAAAUGAAAUAUGUAUAAUAUUUAAAUGUGAAUAUAUAAAAAAAUGAAAAUUUAAACUAAUUUCAUAAUUUUUAAAAAUAUUAUAUUAUUUUUAUUUAAUAUUUUAAAAAAAUUUAAAAUCUAAUAUAUAUUGUUUUGUUUGGCAUAUGAGAUAAUAAAACACAUGUAGCCGAGUGGUGUCUUAGGUGGACUAUAGUUAAGGAUUGGUCCAAGGUUCAAAUCCUCUUGUGGAGUUUUGUUAUGUUUUUUUUCAUUGAUAUUUAGCAAUCCUACAUCGGAAAUGAGAGAAAUAAGGGGUCAAAUGACUCCUAUAAAAGCCAUCCUCAGCAAAGGCUUGGCAUGGUCUUGUGGGCUCAAAAAAAAGCCCACAAUAAUUGGAGUGGGCAUGUGGGCUGUGUCAUAAGACAGGCCCAACAUGGAAUCCUUCCUUUCAUGCAAUGAGAGGGUAAUAGUUUUAUUUUGUAAUUUUUUUUUUUCAAAAAAUUAAAAUUAUUUGAAUCGGCCGGUUCCCUUGGAACCGGCCGGUUCACCGAUUGAACUGCCGGUUUGAGCGAUUCAACCCCGGUUCGAUCUCAAUCCGGUCCAAAUGACCGGAUCGAACCGGAAUGAUGACUGGUCGAUGGUUGGACCGGCCGGUCCGGUUUUUAAAACAUUGGAUAUGACAAUAGCUCAGAACCACAAAAAAAAAGUAAAUUUUUUUUUUCUUCCUGUUGUCAUCGAUGAUAAACCACGAUUAUUGAUCCAUUAUCGGUCUUUGGCUUCAACAAAGUAGGCUUCGUCUCCCUUUUCCUCCAUUUCUGCAGAACACCAUUUCAUAUAAUGGUCUAGGAGUUGAUCUUAAUUAGCACCGAUAGUGGAUGUCAUGACAAGUCAUUAUUAUUAUUAUUAUUAUUAUUAAUCUUGGAUUCAAUAAGGUCAAAAUAAAAGAAUUGGGAUUAAGGAAUUUUGAUUAAUGGAAAUUCAAAAAUAAUAGCCAGAUAAUACUAUUUCACAUUGAAGCUUGGGAAGCAAUAAAAAUGGAAAAUUGGUAAUCGACUCUCUCAUAUAAGUUGAUAUAAUUAACAAAGUAUAUAUGUGAAAGGGUUUGCAUAUGUAUGAUAUAUCCAAAAUUGAUCCAAUUAAUAGUAAAUUAAGUCCAAGCAUUCCAAAAUACUCUAUCAGUAAUUAAAUGUGUUUAUGUAAUGAAGAUUUUGACUCAUUUACAUGUUAAAAAACAGUUAAACUUUAUUUAUUUUUAAAUCCAUUUUAAAUCAAAUAUAUUAACAAUUAUUAUAUUCAUUUUUAACCAAAACAAAUUAUACCUUUUCAUGUUAAUAUCCAUAUUUUUAUAACAUAUACUAAAAUAAUAUAUUUUUAUAAAAAGAAAUAUAAUUUAUGAUUUUAUUAUAAUAUUACUAUUCAUAUUUUUAUUAAAAACCAUUUAUUUACAAUUACAAAACCAUUUUGAUUUUCAAUAAGAUUGAAAUUAAAUUUAAUUAACAUUAUAUAAAUUAAAUUUACAAUAUUUUUUCAAAAUCAAAAUAAAAAAUUAUUUUUAAAAAAAUUUAUUAAAACAUGUUUUUUUUUUUUUGAAAAAUAUAUUUUAAAACAACUUAUCAAAUAUCUUUAUUUUUAUAAAAUACUAAAACAUUGGUUUUCCUUUUUAACUUAAACUUAAUUUCUGAAAACUAGAAAAUAUGGUCAAAUGGGAUCUUAUUUUAUUUUUUUUUAUUUAAAGUGAUUUUUAAAGAUUUUAAAACUUCGUUAAACAUUUCAUUUAUACAAGAAAAGCACUUUCAAUCAUUUAAAAAACGCUUUUAAUCACUCUUGCAAAUAUGCUAGAAACCAAAAAUUAGAGAUUGAUACAAUUAGUCUAGUUGAAAAAUAAUAUUAACGUAAAGAUAUUUUGUAAUGAUAAUUUUUAUUUAAUUUAAAAUUUUACACUUUUCAUCAAUUUGCAAUCACAUAGGCCUACCAAGGAUUUGAUUUUAUCUUCUAAAUUCAAUGAUUAUAGUAAUAAAACAUUCAAAAAUUGUCACACAUUAUAAGUCAAAUUAAUUUAUGCACAUUAAAUAUUAAUAUACAGAAUGUCUCAUCUUUUCUAUCAAAUUAUGUCUUUGACUAACAACUUUUUGUAAUUUUUGUUUAAUUAGUUUGAAAUCAUAGUUUGAAAAUACAUAUCUCAAAAUGUGGUUUCUAAAUUUGUACUGAAUGCUAGGUUUUGAAAUACAAAAGCUCCAACAGCAUAUUUUGUGGGCUAAAGGUGAGUUUGAGGCAAAAGUCUAUAUGCCCUCACACAUUGAUUGAUGAAUUAUUGCUAUUUGUGGUUGAUUUGUCACUUCUUUCAUGUCAAAACACUUAGCAAACAUGUGGGACAAACUGAACGACUUUCAUACGAUCGGGCUUCUAAUGUCCUGUUGAUAUCAUCCCAUUCAAAAAUAAUUUCAACUUAGAAACAUAAAAAGUGUUACAAGUGAGUAGACAUUUGCCCCACAUCAUAAAUAAUUGAAUCAAAGAUAAGAUUUUCAUUGCCUUUUAUGGACCAACCAAAGAUUUUGAGUCAUAGCAAGUAUUUAUAAUAAUUGAAGGUACUAUCUAUAUUAUUAAAGGAUAGUACUUAUGCGAUCACACCUUCAAUUGAUUAGAAAUGCACAAAAUUUUAAUUAUUUUUAAAUAAUUAAAAUUGAGUUUUUUUAAAUAUGCUAAUAAAAACACACUUUUCCCAUUUUACUUUUUAUCAUAAAUCCUAUGAUUAUAAAACCAUCAAAAUUGUGAAAAUAUGUAGAUUAAAGUCAAGCAUGUGAACAAAGGUAAAAUGAUACUCUUCAAUGCUCAUAAAACUACCAUAAUUGUGGUUCCAAAUUUUUGUUGGAUGGAAUAUAGUAGUUAAAAAAUUUCUUACACACGAUAAAUUAUGGCUAGGUUUGAGAACAAUUCUAAAAAAUAAUUUUUAAAAUUAUUAUAUGAUAUUUUAUAAAAUAAAAAUCUAUUUAGGAGUAUGAAAUGUUCUUAAUAUAUUUUUUAUUUUUUAAAUAUAUUUUAAAAAUAAAUUUUAUCUCCAAUACUUUAUUUUUUAUAUUUGUAUAAUUCUUAUAUACAACAAUUAUCAAAAAAUAAGUAAAAACAAUCUAAAAGAUAUUUUUUUUAAAUAUCCUAUUUUAAAUUUUUUAUUUUUUGUUUUUUAUUUUUAUUUUUAUUUUUAAAUAACAUAUAACUAUUUUUAAAAAUAGUUGUCAAGUGACUAGACAACCCGUCAUUAUCCAAAUCGGAGACAAAUUGACGUGGCAUCCACACAAGAUAACUCCAUAAUUUAGAAAGAUUUCCUUUCUCAUGUGCUCUUGCUUCAUCUCGGGAAUUAUAAGAUUUGCAACUUUUAGACAGGAAUAUAAUCUUUCUUCUGGGGUCUCCAUGAAUGACUCAUGUCUCCAUAACAAAAAGGGACUUUUGAUAAAAGUAUGGUAAGUUUAAAAAAUUAUUCUUAAAUUAUGGUAGUAGGAAAAGUAAUUCUAAAUCUAAGUAGGAGAGGUAUUAGAAAUCGUCUUUUCAAAAGACGAUUUCUAUCAAAACAAGUAAAAAAAAAAAAUUAAUCCCUCAAAAAUUGUCUUUUGAAAAGAUGAGAUGAUUUUCCCUUAAUAAAUAAAUAAAUAAUCCAAAAAAUAAAAUAAAAUUUCCUAAAUGGAAAUCGUCUCUUUCAAGACACGAUUUCCCUUAAAAAAAAUCCAAAAAAAAAAAAUACAUCCAAAUUUAAUAUCUUUAAUUAUCUCUAUUUUAUAAAACAAAUAAUACAAUUUAAUAUAUAAAUAUUUUAUAAAUCCAUUUUAAAAUUAAAAAAUUAAUUAUAUUUAUACAAUUAUUAUAAAUAUAUAUUAAAAAAUUAAUUAAUUUGAUUUACUAAAUUUAAUAUAAUAUAAAUAAUAUUUAUCUAUUGUUUUUUUUUCUUUCACUUUGCAAUUAAAAAAAAAACUGUUAUCAAUUUAUAUGAAAAAAUGAGUUUAAAAAAUUAAAUUUAUUAUGAAUUUAUUAAAUAAUUAUUUACACAAUAAAUCAUUUUGUUUUGUUUUUAUUUUUAAAUUAAUUAUAUUAUAUAAUUUUAAGAUUAAAAAUAUUAAUCUUUUAAGUUAAAAUUUCAUGUGUUUUCAUAACUCUUAUAACCUAUUAUACUUCAUCACACCAAUUUGAAGAAGACCGUUUGCUACCCUCAUACCAAUUUGAAGAAGACCGUUUACUAUCCUCUCACCAAUUUGAAGAAGAACACUUCAUCACACUAAUUUGAAGAAGACCGUUUGCUACCCUCUCAUAACUAGCCCAUUGGUAUAGAAGACCGUUUUUUUUUUUUAAACUUUUUUGGCAAAUUGUCUCUUUAAGAGAUGAUUUCCACUUAAAUAAUUUUUUUUGAAAUCAUCUUUUCAAAAGACGAUUUUUGAGGGAUUAAUUUUUUUUUUUUUUACUUGUUUUGAUGGAAAUUGUCUUUUGAAAAGACGAUUUCCAAUUCCUGCAAAAUCCGCUCUCCUACCUGACAAAAACUACUAUAUAUUUGGAAUUAUUUUUCCUAUUACGAUAAUUUAAGAAUAAUUUUUUUAAUUUACUGUACUCUUGUCAAAAGUCCUAACAAAAAGGGCAAAAAACUUUUAGAAAGAUUCCAUUUAUAGAUGUUACCAAAAAUUACUUUGCUACCAUAAUUUUAGACAUGAAUAUAAUCUUCUUCUGGGAAUAUACCUGAGCUUGAGUUUCUCAUCCAUCCAGUGGUCAUUUGCUUGGUCUGCCCUUUCCUAUAUUUUUGCAUAACACCAUGAAUAAUUUUGAAUACUACGCUUAAGGAAAUUUGAUUUGUGGAAAGAAAAAAUAAUUGCCAGAAAACUGUUUCGUAUUGCGGCUUGGGAGACAACUCCAUGUAAGUCGAUAUAACGAACAAAGUAUGUGAAGGGUUUAUAUAUAUAUAUAUAUAUAUAUACAUACAUACAUACAUAUAUAUAUAUAUCCAAAAUACCAUGCCUCGAUGCUAGAUUACAUUUAACAUUUGACAACACUAGAGAUUAUGAUGACAAACUGUUGUGGAAGGUGAUAUAUCAUACAUGUUAUACAAACAUUAUUAAUCCUUUUCACAUGGUACAUACAUAUAUAUAGAACCAUCUCCUGGCCAUUUACAUUGGCACAGGAUCUAUGAGCAUCCCUGCAACCAGAUCUUUCAUCAAUGGUCCAACCAGCGUGUACUCAUCUUCGUCCUUGUACAAGACGUCCAUCAUCCGGCUAAAAUUCAGAACACGGGUGAGGAGUGGAACUGGCACUGCUGUAGGUUGCAGGAACUCCUCAUUAUUAUCCUUCCAUGCACUCUCUACUUGCUUCUUGAACUCAUCAUAAGCUUCUUCCUUUGAAACCCCAUAUUGCUUCAUGUAGCAUUCUACGGCUGAGGCAACAUGCCCUCUUUUUUGCUCAAACUGCACAAGAAAGAAAAUCAAAAGAAUUUCAGUAUACACAAAACAGUAGCAGCAUCCAUUAUGCAAUAUGGAUAUGUACCUCAUGGGAAACUAUGUCAUCCAUAAGCCUGCAAAUGACGUUUGAAGCUCUAAUCAUCUUAGGGUCACUGAAAACCCAAUCGAAGGCCUCCUUGGUUACUAUAUCUCCCAUACCGACGAAAGAUGUGGUUGUAAGCAUAGAGCAGGCAGAGCUUACCAGCGCGUUGCUCAUGUACUCAUCCAUUCUUGGUAUAUAUUCUUGCUUCAACCAUUUGGCUUCAAGAAGGUAGGCUUGGACUUGCCUUUUUAACUGAGUUACAUAAUCAUGCAGAAUAUAUAUUAAUUUUGACCAUACCAAACACAACUCAUGGAACAUUGAAGGAUCAAGAAGAAGAGAUAAUAUUGGUGCCAAACCGCUGCUUGUGCGUAGUGAACACGGUACAGUUUUCCUUGCUUCGUCAUCUCUUCCUCCAUUUCUUCAUAGACAUCUAAGAGAGCCUGAUAACACACCUUCAUAUAAUCUGGCAGUUGAUCUAUGCUGCUGGCAUCCCAUCUGAAAGUGAAGCAACAGAUCAUAUCCUUGGAACCUUUUGAAAUUACACCAGAAAUUUAGAAAUUAAGUUAACAAUGUUGAUGUGCAUGCAUCAAGUAAUUACC